This 484-nucleotide ribosomal RNA is filed under the name uncultured bacterium. Its description in RNAcentral is "partial 16S ribosomal RNA". It matches the Rfam family "Bacterial small subunit ribosomal RNA", at positions 29 to 507 of the family's 1533-position model. The record is from RNAcentral.
AUUGAACGCUGGCGGCAUGCUUUACACAUGCAAGUCGAACGGCAGCGCGGGCUUCGGCCUGGCGGCGAGUGGCGAACGGGUGAGUAAUACAUCGGAACGUGCCCAGUAGCGGGGGAUAGCUCGGCGAAAGCCGGAUUAAUACCGCAUACGACCUGAGGGUGAAAGCGGGGGAUCUUCGGACCUCGCGCUAUUGGCGCGGCCGAUGGCAGAUUAGCUAGUUGGUGGGGUAAAGGCCUACCAAGGCGACGAUCUGUAGCUGGUCUGAGAGGACGACCAGCCACACUGGGACUGAGACACGGCCCAGACUCCUACGGGAGGCAGCAGUGGGGAAUUUUGGACAAUGGGCGAAAGCCUGAUCCAGCAAUGCCGCGUGUGUGAUGAAGGCCUUCGGGUUGUAAAGCACUUUUGGCGGGAACGAAAAGGACUGUGCCAAUACCACGGUUCGAUGACGGUACCCGCAGAAUAAGCACCGGCUAACUACGUG